This is a small nuclear RNA of 118 nucleotides. It matches the Rfam family "U5 spliceosomal RNA". Rfam says of the family: U5 RNA is a component of both types of known spliceosome.
GCCGGCUGGGGUUAGGACAAUGACACAAUCCCCUCGCCUUUUACUAGGGGAUUCCGUGUCCUGACCCCAUUCAAAGCCGCAAUACGAAUUUUUCAGAUAUAUGCUUCCUGAGGAAGUC